CCUUGGCUUAUUCCAACACGCCUGCUGCUCUGACCCAUGUUUUACUUCUCAACUUCUUUGAAGCUGCUCCUAUCUAAACCCCUGGACUCGGUGACUCUACCUGGUUAGUGAACAGCCCCAGGCCAGACAGCAGGCUUGUGUCAAUAGAGAGCUGAAACACUAACCCAGUGCUCCCCUUUUCCCUUCCCACCUCUAGGGAGAAUGUUGCAAGACCCGGGUCGUGCAUGCCCAAGAGCGGAGCGAGUUCCCUGCUACUCAUCACUACCAGCAGCUCCAGGGAAGCUCCCAGAGUCCCGGACCACCAACACCCAGCCUCGCAACGCAAAGAGGUCUGGGCUGGAAGAGCAGCCCGUCUCCUUGCCGUGGGGGUAGAGACAAGCUGUUUCUGAAGGAGAAGGGAGGCGACUUCUGGAGCUCCAGGAACAGGCAAGCUGCUCCAGGCCAGCCCAGCCUGACCAAAGCUGGCCUCAAUCAGCCAAAAAGGCAACAAAAUGCUCAGGCUGGAAAUGGACUUCCCUCUUGCAGGGAGAAAGGCCCUGCCUGUUCAGCUGGCUGGGCCAGCAGAGCGCAUAAAGGAGAUGUAUCCCAACAAAAGCAGACUCACCUCCUAAGCGGAAGGUAAAAAUCCAGCUCAUGGGACAUUUUCUAAGACAUGGAAGCAACUGGCAGCCACCUUGUCCCCUCAGAGCCGCUUCACCCCACCCAUGCAUCAGUGAAGUCAGUGAGUCACCAGGGGUGACAAGUGCACCCUCCAACAUCCCCUGCGCAGCCAGUGUCUCCUGGGUGCUCAGGUCAGAGCGCCACAGCCAGGCGUAAGCAUCAGUGUGGGGGAAAGGUAGCACAAGCAGCCCAGGGAGGGAGCGGACACCAGAAAACAGACCAGAGGAUGCACGUACUGUUUGGGGAGCUCGAGAGAAGUCGGAGGAGGAUUCCAGGUGUCCGGGUGGCCAAGCAUCCAGUCCGACCAGACCUUCACACUGGGGAGCAGCUCCUUCAGGUCCUGGGGCAAGGCAGAGACCUUGAUGUCAUCCUCCUCAUCCUCCUGCUCCACCUCUCGUGGCUGAACUGCAAACACAAGAUGUGAGAGCUGAGGCAGCUCACCGCAGCUAGGAGCCAGGCUCAGGUGGGGUCAGGGGAUGCACAACACGCACCCCAUCGCCCCAGCCUUGGAUGCAGAAGGGAACGGCCACAACCCACAGCAAGUGCAAAGGCAGAUCUGUUCUCCCCACACGGACUGGCUUGCAGGGCAAGCCGGGAUGUCUGUGACCCCUUUUAUUGAGAGCAGCGGGGUGCCAGGGCACCAGUCUCAGAGGUAGGAUCCUGAGGUCCCAGUUUUGGGAUGUUUCCCAAUAGCUGACAGAAAGCAUGCUCUGCAUUCAUCCUUUUCUUCCAAGCAUUUCUGCGAGCACACAUCAGGGGCUUUCCUGCUAAAUGAUCCAGCCACAGCCUGGGCAGAGCUUGGGACACCGGGGAGAAUCCAAGGGCCUCAGCAGAGGGGAAAGGGGUGUACAAAAUAGCAGGGAGCGAGGGCCUGACCCCGGCAGGCUGCCUUGCGGGCAGCUGCGUGGAUCCUGCCGGUAACCCCUUACCUUGCACGCAUUCCCUCAGCAGGUUGGUGCACCUCCUCACCAAGAGCGCAAACAUGGAGAGCCCCAGGGCCGUGGCCUGUUCCUGGAUGACGGAGCGGCAGUCUUCAGAGACACACUCUAAGGGACAGAGAGAGGGUUCAGCGGGGAGCAGGUCAGAUGCUCUGUCUUGCUUCACCUUUGCAACCUCCCCUUCUGCAUCCCUUAUGGAGCAGGGAUCUCUGCAGGGGUGGGUGGUUCCCCAGCUCACACCUGUCCUGGACCCAAUUUGCUCCACAUGGUGGGGAUAAAAGGUGGUGAGUAGCUACUCUAGAGUGGGAAGAGGCUCAGUCACACUGCCCACAUUGUGCCUGACCCUGCCUCAUGUGCUGAGCCAGCCCAGCCCGAGCCAGCGCUCCCAGCACAGAAGCUGCUGCUCAGAGCUGAUGCCUCCCCCUGAAGGAGGGGGGUAUGUUUAAGUGUUAAAAGGGUAAUUAGCUGCAUGUUUGAUCUUUGUCCCUGCUGGAGUUUUAACCUCAGCAGCUGAGGAGGGGGCUCCUCCCAUUAGUUCACCAGUCACACAACAGCUUGUCAAGAGAGCUUAAUUGAAGCUGUUACUCAAGUAGAUGCCACACGACCACAGCUCUUCCAAACAGAGCCGGCUCGGAGUGAGAGCAAAUCCCCCCGGCACAUCUACACCCAGCCAGAAACCACUUCUGAGGCUGCUGAGAGCAGCGGGGAGCUGGCUCGAGGGAACUGCCUGGAGCUGGGCGUGGGUUACAUUUAGCAAGGCCGAGAGCACCGUGGGGCAUGCCAGGCUGCCUGUGCUCGCUCAGGCACCGUGCUGCCUGCUCACAGAAGAUUUUUAAGCCUUACGGGCAGCCUCUGCCCUCCGAGUCCCCUCUGCCCCCAGUUCACGUCCUCCCUUGAGAUGCAGGGGGGAGUGGCUGUGGCCAGGGGCUUGCCGGGAGGGAGGCAGGGAAGGGCUGGCUGGGAUGUACCGGCACUGCUCGGGGGUCUCCGUGCCAUUCACUCUGCACAGGCUGCUCCGCCGCAGCACCUUGCGGGCUGGCGCAUCGCCUGCCGCAGGACCAGGUCUCCCAGCCCUCACCCUGCAGAUGGGCAGACACUGGGCGAACAGCUGCCGCAAGCCAGGCGAAGGAUUUGCACAGUGAACGCAAAUACGUAGGUACCGACUCCAAACCGGCACCUGUGCGAGCAAAGCCCCAGCGCCGGGAUGGGGAGGGGGAGCCCCUGCAGAGCCCCGGCACCUCCGCCGCAGACGUGAGCACCAGCUGCGUGUGGACAAGGAGAAGGUCUUGGAAGCUGAACUCCCCUGAUGUGGCAGACCAGGGAUUUUGAGCAAAGGGCAAGAGGAUUAAAGUAAGAUAUCAAGACCUUGUUCCAGCCGGGGCUAGCAAAACACCUGAGGCACAGAGAACAAACUUUGGGUUUUAAGUGCAAAUUAUUUCGGAGCAAUCGGGUGGGAGGUUAAAAACAACGAGAACAAGACUAAAGCAGAAGAAAAUAUAGGAAAACACAGGUGGAAGAUCUGUAGGCUUGUUUUGGCCAGCCCUUAGAGCUGCCAAUGAGUUCAGCAACCAGUGGGGAGAUCACUGAGGGUAACCCAGGGUGGCACCAGAGGCCCUGGUAGCUGAACGAGGGUGCUCUGCUCCCGGAGCCAGGGCUGAGCCGGUGCCGCAGAGCAAUGGUAGGAAGUGCUGUACUGCAGGGGCUGUCAACUUUUGGAGGAAACAUAAAACUAAAGAUGUGACCA
Phalacrocorax carbo (great cormorant) is the source of this 3342-nucleotide non-coding RNA. Lineage: Eukaryota; Metazoa; Chordata; Aves; Suliformes; Phalacrocoracidae. The record is from RefSeq and is a predicted model, not a curated record.